UACAGAGGUGGCAAGCGUUGUUCGGAAUUACUGGGCGUAAAGGGCGCGUAGGCGGCCUUCUAAGUCAGACGUGAAAUCCCCCGGCUUAACCUGGGAACUGCGUCUGAUACUGGGAGGCUUGAGUAUGGGAGAGGGAUGUAGAAUUCCAGGUGUAGCGGUGAAAUGCGUAGAUAUCUGGAGGAAUACCGGUGGCGAAGGCGGCAUCCUGGACCAAUUCUGACGCUGAGGAGCGAAAGCCAGGGGAGCAAACGGG
Molecule: ribosomal RNA, 253 nt
Filed under: uncultured bacterium
Lineage: Bacteria
Description: partial 16S ribosomal RNA
Rfam family: Bacterial small subunit ribosomal RNA
Source: RNAcentral